RNAcentral lists this ribosomal RNA (646 nucleotides) under uncultured bacterium. RNAcentral's name for it is "bacterial SSU rRNA". It matches the Rfam family "Bacterial small subunit ribosomal RNA", at positions 228 to 884 of the family's 1533-position model. The record is from RNAcentral.
GAUUCGCGGCCUAUCAGCUUGUUGGUGAGGUAAAGGCUCACCAAGGCGACGACGGGUAGCCGGCCUGAGAGGGUGACCGGCCACACUGGGACUGAGACACGACCCAGACUCCUACGGGAGGCAGCAGUGGGGAAUAUUGCACAAUGGGCGCAAGCCUGAUGCAGCAACGCCGCGUGAGGGACGAAGGCCUUCGGGUUGUAAACCUCUUUUAGCAGGGAAGAAGCGAAAGUGACGGUACCUGCAGAAAAAGCACCGGCUAACUACGUGCCAGCAGCCGCGGUAAUACGUAGGGUGCAAGCGUUGUCCGGAAUUAUUGGGCGUAAAGAGCUCGUAGGCGGUUUGUCGCGUCUGCUGUGAAAUCCCGAGGCUCAACCUCGGGUCUGCAGUGGGUACGGGCAGACUAGAGUGUGGUAGGGGAGAUUGGAACUCCUGGUGUAGCGGUGGAAUGCGCAGAUAUCAGGAAGAAUACCAAUGGCGAAGGCAGAUCUCUGGGCCAUUACUGACGCUGAGGAGCGAAAGCGUGGGGAGCGAACAGGAUUAGAUACCCUGGUAGUCCACGCCGUAAACGUUGGGAACUAGAUGUGGGGGCCAUUCCACGGUCUCCGUGUCGCAGCUAACGCAUUAAGUUCCCCGCCUGGGGAGUACG